Molecule: ribosomal RNA, 491 nt
Filed under: uncultured bacterium
Lineage: Bacteria
Description: partial 16S ribosomal RNA
Rfam family: Bacterial small subunit ribosomal RNA
Source: RNAcentral
AGUGAACGCUGGCGGUAGGCCUAACACAUGCAAGUCGAACGGCAGCACAGUAAGAGCUUGCUCUUACGGGUGGCGAGUGGCGGAAGGGAGAGGAAUACAUCGGAAUCUACUUUUUCGUGGGGGAUAACGUAGGGAAACUUACGCUCAUACCGCAUACGACCUACGGGUGAAAGCAGGGGAUCUUCGGACCUUGCGCGAUUGAAUGAGCCGAUGUCGGAUUAGCUAGUUGGCGGGGUAAAGGCCCACCGAGGCGACGAUCCGUAGCCGGUCUGAGAGGAGGAACAGCCACACAGGAACUGAGACACGGUCCAGACUCCUACGUGAGGCAGCAGUUGGGAAUGGUGGACAAAGGGCGCAAUCCUGAUCCAGCCAUACCGCGUGGGUGAAGAAGGCCUGCGUGUUGUAAAGCCCUUUUGGUGGGAAAGAAAAGCAGCAGGUUAAUACCCCGCUGUGCUGACGGUACCCAAAGAAGAAGCACCGGCUAACUUCGU